This 477-nucleotide ribosomal RNA is filed under the name uncultured bacterium. RNAcentral's name for it is "bacterial SSU rRNA". It matches the Rfam family "Bacterial small subunit ribosomal RNA", at positions 501 to 981 of the family's 1533-position model. The record is from RNAcentral.
CUACGUGCCAGCAGCCGCGGUAAUACGGAAGGUCCAGGCGUUAUCCGGAUUUAUUGGGUUUAAAGGGAGCGUAGGCCGGAGAUUAAGUGUGUUGUGAAAUGUAGACGCUCAACGUCUGACUUGCAGCGCAUACUGGUUUCCUUGAGUACGCACAACGUUGGCGGAAUUCGUCGUGUAGCGGUGAAAUGCUUAGAUAUGACGAAGAACUCCGAUUGCGAAGGCAGCUGACGGGAGCGCAACUGACGCUUAAGCUCGAAGGUGCGGGUAUCAAACAGGAUUAGAUACCCUGGUAGUCCGCACAGUAAACGAUGGAUGCCCGCUGUUGGUACCUGGUAUCAGCGGCUAAGCGAAAGCAUUAAGCAUCCCACCUGGGGAGUACGCCGGCAACGGUGAAACUCAAAGGAAUUGACGGGGGCCCGCACAAGCGGAGGAACAUGUGGUUUAAUUCGAUGAUACGCGAGGAACCUUACCCGGGCU